GAACGCUGGCGGCGUGCCUAAUACAUUCAAGUCGAGCGAACGGACGAGAAGCUUGCUUUUCUGAUGUUAGCGGCGGACGGGUGAGUAACACGUGGAUAACCUACCUAUAAGACUGGGCUAACUUCGGGAAACCGGAGCUAAUACCGGAUAAUAUUUUGAACCGCAUGGUUCAAAAGUGAAAGACGGUCUUGCUGUCACUUAUAGAUGGAUCCGCGCUGCAUUAGCUAGUUGGUAAGGUAACGGCUUACCAAGGCAACGAUGCAUAGCCGACCUGAGAGGGUGAUCGGCCACACUGGAACUGAGACACGGUCCAGACUCCUACGGGAGGCAGCAGUAGGGAAUCUUCCGCAAUGGGCGAAAGCCUGACGGAGCAACGCCGCGUGAGUGAUGAAGGUCUUCGGAUCGUAAAACUCUGUUAUUAGGGAAGAACAUAUGUGUAAGUAACUGUGCACAUCUUGACGGUACCUAAUCAGAAAGCCACGGCUAACUACGUG
RNAcentral lists this ribosomal RNA (494 nucleotides) under uncultured bacterium. RNAcentral's name for it is "partial 16S ribosomal RNA". It matches the Rfam family "Bacterial small subunit ribosomal RNA", at positions 31 to 507 of the family's 1533-position model. The record is from RNAcentral.